This 518-nucleotide ribosomal RNA is filed under the name uncultured bacterium. Its description in RNAcentral is "bacterial SSU rRNA". It matches the Rfam family "Bacterial small subunit ribosomal RNA", at positions 371 to 908 of the family's 1533-position model. The record is from RNAcentral.
AUGGGGGGCACCCUGAUCCGCAUGCCGCGUGUGUGAAGAAGGCCUGCGGGUUGUAAAGCUCUUUCGGCGGGGACGAUGAUGACGGUACCCGCAGAAGAAGCCCCGGCUAACUUCGUGCCAGCAGCCGCGGUAAUACGAAGGGGGCAAGCGUUGUUCGGAAUUACUGGGCGUAAAGGGCGCGCAGGCGGCCGACGUAGUCAGGCGUGAAAGCCCCGGGCUUAACCUGGGAAUUGCGUUUGAUACUGGUUGGCUAGAGUUCGGGAGAGGAUGGUGGAAUUCCCAGUGUAGAGGUGAAAUUCGUAGAUAUUGGGAAGAACACCGGUGGCGAAGGCGGCCAUCUGGACCGCAACUGACGCUGAGGCGCGAAAGCGUGGGGAGCAAACAGGAUUAGAUACCCUGGUAGUCCACGCUGUAAACGAUGUGUGCUAGACGUUGGCGGGCCUAGCCUGUCAGUGUCGCAGCUAACGCGUUAAGCACACCGCCUGGGGAGUACGGCCGCAAGGUUAAAACUCAAAGGA